CUUCACUUCAACUUUAAGCCCUACCGACUCCAUCUAUUUGUUUAACGUAACUGGGUUGGUUUUAUUACGAAUCAACUGCAUCAAACACUAUUUACCAACUUUCUCUUUAUAAGGUUGAACUAUCAGCAUACUUGCGUGAGGUUCGUUAACAUGAAUAUAGUAAUUUGGACGAAUAUUCAUUUAUUCUUAAUUAUAGCUGUUUGUAUGAUGAAAAUAGUAAUAUAUGUUUAUUUUGUAUUUAUAGCUGUUUGGAAGAAUUUAUAGCUGUUUGGAUGAAUUUAUAGUUGGAUGAUUAUUUUAUAAAUUUUGUUUAUGUUUGGUUGAAUAACAUUACUUUAUAUUUGUUGUUAUGCUUGGAUGAUUGACAAUAAUAAUAUUUUCUAAAAAGGUAAUAUAAAAAAAUCAGAUUGUUGUAUUAUUUACUAAAAAAUGAUAACAUGAAAAAAAGAAGAUAAAAAAGAUUAACAUGAAAAAAAGAAAAAAAAAAAGUUUGCCAUGGACAAAAAUCAGUUUUUUAAGUCUAAAAAAAACAGUGUUGUCAACAUAAAAAAAGAAAAAGAAAAAAAGGAUAACUAGUGUUGUUUAAUUCGCUUCUAGAAUAACAUGAAAAAAUGAAAUAAAAAAACAGUUUUUUAAGAAAAGAGU
This is a long non-coding RNA of Benincasa hispida (wax gourd), 645 nucleotides long. RefSeq lists it as uncharacterized. NCBI's taxonomy places the organism in Eukaryota, Viridiplantae, Streptophyta, Magnoliopsida, Cucurbitales, Cucurbitaceae. The record is from RefSeq and is a predicted model, not a curated record.